UACGUAGGUGGCAAGCGUUGUCCGGAUUUAUUGGGUUUAAAGGGUGCGUAGGCGGUCUUUUAAGUCAGUGCUGAAAUACUCCAGCUUAACUGGAGGGGUGGCAUUGAUACUGGAAGACUUGAGUGUAGUCGAGGUAGGCGGAAUUGACGGUGUAGCGGUGAAAUGCUUAGAUAUCGUCAAGAACACCGAUAGUGAAGACAGCUUACUAGGCUACAACUGACGCUGAGGCGCGAAAGCGUGGGGAGCAAACAGG
Molecule: ribosomal RNA, 253 nt
Filed under: uncultured bacterium
Lineage: Bacteria
Description: partial 16S ribosomal RNA
Rfam family: Bacterial small subunit ribosomal RNA
Source: RNAcentral